Molecule: ribosomal RNA, 275 nt
Filed under: uncultured Eubacteriales bacterium
Lineage: Bacteria; Bacillati; Bacillota; Clostridia; Eubacteriales
Description: uncultured Clostridiales bacterium partial 16S ribosomal RNA
Rfam family: Bacterial small subunit ribosomal RNA
Source: RNAcentral
AGACAGUGAGUAGCUUGCUCCGGCCGAUUUAGUGGCGGACGGGUGAGUAACGCGUGGGUAACCUGCCUCAUACAGGGGGAUAGCAGUUGGAAACGACUGCUAAUACCGCAUAAGCGCACAGCUUCGCAUGAAGCAGUGUGAAAAACUCCGGUGGUACAAGAUGGACCCGCGUCUGAUUAGCUGGUUGGUGAGGUAACGGCCCACCAAGGCGACGAUCGGUAGCCGGACUGAGAGGUUGAACGGCCACAUUGGGACUGAGACACGGCCCAGACUCC